ACUAAGAGUAUAGUUGAGGGACCAUUGCUGCGAAUAACCCUACUAUUUAUUAAAAUAGUAAUUUUCCGUUUAGUAAGAAGAACAGUAUGUUGCUCUGUAAUCCGAUACAACACGGGGCUGCUGUGCCGACGUGUAAUAUGGUAUUACAAGUAUUUUGCUCAGUGUAAGGCGAAAAGACGAAGAUACCCUCAGUAGCACAUUGUAGAACGUUCAAGAGAGGCCCAACUUCCUCAUAUUUCAGUUGUUUAGCGCCUCUGCAACUCCAUAGACAACCAAUCCAGAGAAACUCGGGAUAGGGAUCAGGGGCCUUAGGGCUUGAAACCUUGCAGAAGAAGAAGAAGAAGAAGAAGAUGAUCGAGGUGGUGCUGAACGACAGGCUGGGAAAGAAGGUUCGGGUGACAUGCAACGAGGACGACACCAUAGGCGACCUGAAGAAGCUGGUGGCGGCCCAGACGGGGACCCGAGCCGAUAAGAUCCGAAUCCAAAAGUGGUACAACAUUUACAAGGAUCACAUCACUCUCAAGGAUUACGAAAUCCACGACGGCAUGGGCCUCGAACUCUACUAUAACUGAAACUCAUCAAUUCAAUUCUACCUACCUACUUUACAGGACGUAAGAUGCAAAAUGCCUUGCAAGUGACUAUAUACCAACAAACCCAUUGUGAACGAGUUGAGGAAAGAGUUGGGGCCCUGUAUGUUUAUGGGUAUCGUCGUCGUAUCGUAAACAUUUGGACAUCGGAAUAUUCAAAGCUCUGCAUUGUUUCUUACAUUGAUGAUGAGCAUGCUCAUCAACAUGUUGUUUCCUGUGUCCACGAGAGUCCAGCUGAGAGAAUAUAUGUUGUUUGCGACUUCUAGCUUUUGCUCUCAUUGUUGGCAAAGACGUGUGAAGUAAAGUGAUGAAAGAAGAAUUCAUUGUCUUAAAUCUCAACAGAUCAACGGGAAAAAAAGAAAAGAAGAGAAACCUUGGCAAACAAGGAAAGACAGAAAGAAAUUGCAAAGUUCUGUGUGAAUGCAAGAAUAAGUUUUCUGUUGUAUAGGCGAACCAAUUUAAUGAGAGGUUGUAUUUAAUGUUGCAAGUUAGAAUUGGGAGUUUACUGGUUUUAGAUCCCAAAGAAAAGAAGAAAAAAAAAUACAAAAACAAAAAGGCAUCUUGUGGGUUUCGAUGGGAAAAUCUGAGUGCAUCUGUUCUGUUUCUGUAUACUCUCUGGUCUCUUCAUGUCUGUGUUCAGUGUAACAUCUUGUCUUGUCUUUGCUAAUCCGGCCCAUAUUUGGUGUUC
Non-coding RNA from Prunus avium (sweet cherry), 1275 nucleotides. The record is from RefSeq and is a predicted model, not a curated record. Lineage: Eukaryota; Viridiplantae; Streptophyta; Magnoliopsida; Rosales; Rosaceae.